Molecule: ribosomal RNA, 375 nt
Filed under: Citrobacter freundii
Lineage: Bacteria; Pseudomonadati; Pseudomonadota; Gammaproteobacteria; Enterobacterales; Enterobacteriaceae
Description: bacterial SSU rRNA
Rfam family: Bacterial small subunit ribosomal RNA
Source: RNAcentral
UGCCAGUGAUAAACUGGAGGAAGGUGGGGAUGACGUCAAGUCAUCAUGGCCCUUACGAGUAGGGCUACACACGUGCUACAAUGGCAUAUACAAAGAGAAGCGACCUCGCGAGAGCAAGCGGACCUCAUAAAGUAUGUCGUAGUCCGGAUUGGAGUCUGCAACUCGACUCCAUGAAGUCGGAAUCGCUAGUAAUCGUGGAUCAGAAUGCCACGGUGAAUACGUUCCCGGGCCUUGUACACACCGCCCGUCACACCAUGGGAGUGGGUUGCAAAAGAAGUAGGUAGCUUAACCUUCGGGAGGGCGCUUACCACUUUGUGAUUCAUGACUGGGGUGAAGUCGUAACAAGGUAACCGUAGGGGAACCUGCGGUUGGAUC